Molecule: ribosomal RNA, 433 nt
Filed under: uncultured bacterium
Lineage: Bacteria
Description: bacterial SSU rRNA
Rfam family: Bacterial small subunit ribosomal RNA
Source: RNAcentral
AACGCGAAGAACCUUACUAGGUCUUGACAUCUCCUGCAUACCAUAGAGAUAUGGGAAGUCCUUCGGGACAGGAAGACAGGUGGUGCAUGGUUGUCGUCAGCUCGUGUCGUGAGAUGUUGGGUUAAGUCCCGCAACGAGCGCAACCCUUACUAUUAGUUGCUACGCAAGAGCACUCUAAUGGGACUGCCGUUGACAAAACGGAGGAAGGUGGGGAUGACGUCAAAUCAUCAUGCCCUUUAUGACCUGGGCUACACACGUAAUACAAUGGCACUUAACAACGGGAAGCAAUACCGCGAGGUGGAGCGAAACCUUAAAAAGUAGUCUCAGUUCGGAUUGCAGGCUGCAACUCGCCUGUAUGAAGUCGGAAUUGCUAGUAAUCGCGGAUCAGCACGCCGCGGUGAAUACGUUCCCGGGCCUUGUACACACCGCACGA